GAAAAUGUUUAAUGUUUGUUAACAGAAGUGUGUAAUAUGUAAGCUGUCUAACUCUUGAUUUAUUGUCAGGAUUUCCUAUAAAAGGAAAUAGUGUGUUUUCUUUAAGAAACCCUUUUCUAAACAUGUUCUCGUAACACACAGAACGGUGGAAUCCUACCAUACAGCAUGUCUCCUUACACUGACAUGGACUUAAGAAACCAGAACCAAAUAGAUGCCAGGAGGAGGAGUCGGGUUUGGACGAGCAGAAUCCCCGAGAUCUAAGGGAGAGUGGACAAGGCGUGCCUUGUGGAUCCGACUGAGAAGCAGCAGGGGUGGACCACGCCGUUCACACAGACACGUAUGAAGGAGACCACGAACAGCAGAGCUGCGCCUUCUCGGAAACCCCUCUGUGCAGAGAGCCCUGUCCCAAGCCCAGCAACCUGGGCCGGUCCCAGUGAACCGUGUGACCAGGUUCCCACAGUGGCACCAGGGAACCAAGCUUUGGAGUUUUGGUUUGGAGCUCCCUCUCGUGGACACAGUGACUAUCCACGGGGGCAAGGUUGGCAGGGCUUCUCAAGGUGUGGACAGGGCUCAGGACCAGCAGGGGUGGAAAUGAGUGCAGUGACACCCAGGGGUCGGUGGCUGUGUUGAAAAUGUGACUUCCCGAGUUCAUGCUACUGUCCAGUGAAGGAUGGACACUACCAUUUCCCAAAUGACUGGUGU
RNAcentral lists this long non-coding RNA (702 nucleotides) under Marmota marmota marmota (Alpine marmot). RNAcentral describes it as "lncRNA (ENSMMMG00000023565.1)". Lineage: Eukaryota; Metazoa; Chordata; Mammalia; Rodentia; Sciuridae. The record is from RNAcentral.